UCGACAAGCUCACCAAUGUUUUUGACGAUUUUCAGGCUGUGGCCAAUUGUCUGGAAGCAUUCUCCAUUGCUCAGCAACCUGGAAAGAAAACAAGGACAUACAGAGUGAACUCACAGACUGGGACUACUCUUUGAAUUAU
Molecule: long non-coding RNA, 139 nt
Organism: Acanthochromis polyacanthus (spiny chromis)
Lineage: Eukaryota; Metazoa; Chordata; Actinopteri; Pomacentridae
Exons: 2
Source: RefSeq, a predicted model, not a curated record